Molecule: microRNA precursor, 92 nt
Filed under: Canis lupus familiaris (dog)
Lineage: Eukaryota; Metazoa; Chordata; Mammalia; Carnivora; Canidae
Also listed under: 1 other name
Description: mir-8799 microRNA precursor family
Rfam family: mir-8799 microRNA precursor family
Source: Rfam by way of RNAcentral
GGGGGGAGCGCUGGAUCUUGGGCUGUGUCCCCGGCACCCUGUGCUCCCAGGCCUGUGCUAUUGGAAUCAUGCUCCAGGAUGUGCAGCCCCCU